This 305-nucleotide ribosomal RNA is filed under the name uncultured bacterium. RNAcentral's name for it is "bacterial SSU rRNA". It matches the Rfam family "Bacterial small subunit ribosomal RNA", at positions 334 to 631 of the family's 1533-position model. The record is from RNAcentral.
UUGACCUACGGGACGCAGCAGUGGGGAAUUUUGGACAAUGGGCGCAAGCCUGAUCCAGCUAUUCCGCGUGUGGGAUGAAGGCCCUCGGGUUGUAAACCACUUUUGUAGAGAACGAAAAGACACCUUCGAAUAAAGGGUGUUGCUGACGGUACUCUAAGAAUAAGCACCGGCUAACUACGUGCCAGCAGCCGCGGUAAUACGUGGGUGGCGAGCGUUAUCCGGAAUGAUUGGGCGUAAAGGGUGCGCAGGCGGUCCUGCAAGUCUGGAGUGAAACGCAUGAGCUCAACUCAUGCAUGGCUUUGGAA